Molecule: long non-coding RNA, 2121 nt
Organism: Carassius gibelio (silver crucian carp)
Lineage: Eukaryota; Metazoa; Chordata; Actinopteri; Cypriniformes; Cyprinidae
Exons: 3
Source: RefSeq, a predicted model, not a curated record
CCGUUCUCAUCAGUCUGCGUAUAAAUAACACGACUUUACACUUUCUAUUUGCGUGUAAUGCAUACGCCAAAUGCCAUUUUUGCGUGCAUAUGAUACGCCAAUCCUUCCCAUUAAUUUCGGUGGAGAGCAGAUGCGUCCAAAUAACACGCAUCAUCUUCAGCGGCAGUGACGUCACUAGCGUGGCUCGUUCAGUUCACCUGAUGCGCGUACACCUUCAAACAGGUAAGCAAGGGUAAAUAUAUUUUUUUAUUCUUCUUUUUGUAAUGAUAUCACGUGGUUAAGCGUAUUGUUUUAAUUAUUUCAGUAUUUCUGCAUCACGUUAGACAGGGCCGUGUUUUUAAAGGGCAGUUUAUGCUCAAAUUAUGGGUCAGUGGGCUGCUCAGCUAGCCUACCAUUGUCAUUAGCCUAAGCUAACCUGUACUGUUUAUAGACCUGUUGCAGUUUUAAAUAAAUUUAUGAUGUGACAUAUGGGUCUUCAGCUUUUAGACAUGACUAAUACAAGCACAACAAAGCACCCAACCCAAUAUCGCGUGAUAAUCGUGAUCGUGUAAAAAGUCCACACAUUUAGCAUAUUUUUACAAUACUAGCCUAACUUUUGCUUGACCACGUCAUGUGUAGCCAAUACACACACAGUAACUACAGCAUAUUUACCAUGCUUCUCCUACUGUAACCGUAGUUUUACUCUGGACUUUGUAACGCACAUAACCACGACAUUUACUAUGGGUUUACCAUAGUAACCAUAGUUUUACUCUGGUAUUUGUAGUUACUAACACACAAUAACCACGACAUUUACUAUGGGUUUACCAUAGUAACCAUAGUUUUACUCUGGUAUUUGUAGUUACUAACACACAAUAACCACGACAUUUACUAUGGGUUUACCAUAGUAACCAUAGUUUUACUCUGGUAUUUGUAGUUACUAACACACAAUAACCACGACAUUUACUAUGGGUUUACCAUAGUAACCAUAGUUUUACUCUGGUAUUUGUAUUUACUAACACACAAUAACCACAACACUUACCAGGAUUUUACCACAGUAACUGUUUUUACUCUACACUAUUUGUAAAGCACAGUAACCACUAAGUUUGCCAUGCCUUUAAUAUCUUUUUGUGAUGUAAUUGUAAUUCAGUGUUUUUUCUGUCUUGCAGUUACGUCGGAUUACAUACUCCACAACAACCUGUAAUCCAGCAGAUCUUUAAAGAAGCCAUCUCUUGUCAAAUCUCUCUCUCUCUCUCUCUCUCUCUCUCUCUCUCUCUCUCUCUCUCUCUCUCGCUCUGCUAGAAUUAACAGGGAACUUCAACUCCACGCUCCCAAUGCUGAUAUUGAAGAAGCUGUCAAGGGGGCUGAACAAGUCCUUCAAAGGAUCAACCCUUCACAGGAAGGCCUGUCAUGAGAUUUGAAUUUGACCAUCUUGUGCAUUUAUGAAGAAGACCAAAAGCUGCAAAGGCAAACACUUGGAUUUCUCACAGAUUACUUAAUCAUUCUUCAUCAGCUCUUCACAAUAUCAGCCCAUUCAAAAGCUUCCAGAUCUUCCUCUCUUGUGUGACACAUCUGCUCUCAGUCCUUUACUGCCAACCUCCAGUCUUAGCAUUUCUGCUUGUAUUCAUUUUUCCUCUACAUUCAUCACUCCAAUCUCUACUAUAAGCACUCCUGUAUAUAUAUAUAUAUAUAUAUAUACACAUAAUAAUAAUAAUAAUUAUUAACCAUUUAUUUGUUUUGCAUUUAUUCACAAUAGAAGCAAACAAUGAUUACAGGAUAUAUGUUUUUAAAGGUUAUAAUUGUAAAAUAGCAUUGUUCUUAAUCAUUUUUGCCUAUUUGGUUGAUAAAGGGAAGAAAACAAUAUAUUUUCAACUGUAGCCUUGAUUAUUCUUUGGCAUCUUUUGUCAGGAUUUCUGUAAACAAAUUCCCUUUUUAUUUUUGAAUAUUAAACUUAUGUUUUUUGAAGGGAGUUUCUGUUGCAAUUUUGUUUGUUUGUUUUCACUUAGUUACCUCUAUGCAUUUUUUUUUUUUAUCAACUUUUCUUUUUUUUCAUAGUGGAAUAAACUGGAGAGAGACUGUUCUGGGCACUAUGUUUAUCUGCGAAAAGUUUGACAUAUCAAUAAACACUGUAAAAUGACUAGACAA